This 253-nucleotide ribosomal RNA is filed under the name uncultured bacterium. Its description in RNAcentral is "partial 16S ribosomal RNA". It matches the Rfam family "Bacterial small subunit ribosomal RNA", at positions 524 to 776 of the family's 1533-position model. The record is from RNAcentral.
GACGAACCGUCCAAACGUUGUUCGGAAUCACUGGGCUUAAAGGGCGCGUAGGCGGGCUGCCAAGUCCGGGGUGAAAUCUUUCGGCUUAACCGGAAAAUAGCCUUGGAUACUGGUAGUCUCGAGGGAGGCAGGGGCCGUUGGAACUUCCGGUGGAGCGGUGAAAUGCGUUGAUAUCGGAAGGAACGCCGGUGGCGAAAGCGAACGGCUGGUCCUCUUCUGACGCUGAGGCGCGAAAGCCAGGGGAGCAAACGGG